RNAcentral lists this long non-coding RNA (350 nucleotides) under Homo sapiens (human). Its description in RNAcentral is "HSALNT0329490". Lineage: Eukaryota; Metazoa; Chordata; Mammalia; Primates; Hominidae. The record is from RNAcentral.
CCUCAAGGAAUCCUCCUGCAUUGGCCUCCCAGGGUAUUGGAAUUACAGGCGUGAGCCACCGUGCCCAGCCGGUAUUUUUUUAUUCUGGAGACUAUCUGCCUGAUGGGAAAUUGUCAACAUUACCUGAGUUUCCUGCAAAUGCAUCAGAAAUAUGUUGUAUUAUUAGAACAUCACCAGGAACUAGACAAGUGAAAAAUAAAGGUGUUAUUGUAAAGAAGAAGAAAUAUUCUCUUCCUAAGGAUACCCCUCAAGAUAUCAUAAUAAAAAUGGCAUGAAAAAACAGCUGUGGCUGAAUUUUCACCACUUUGAAGACAGGAGUGUGAAGUCAAAGUCUAUAAAGCAGAAUGUCU